GUGGGAUGCUGCUGUGAAUUGAUAUAAUGUGUCAGUGAGUUACUAGAUAUUCUGUUUUAAUCAUUCGGAGGUAUAAAAUCAAGGACCUUGGAAAAAAAAUAACAAAAAAUAUCCCUAAUCAGAGGAAUUUUUCUUGACUUACUUGAAACACUAUUUGAAAACAUAUAAAAGUUGUUCUGAGAGAAGAAUCUGAGUUUGUCCUUUUUUUUUAAGUGAUGGUGUAAAAAAUAGGCUUGUCAAACUGCACUCCCUUCAAAUCACUCUCUCCAUCUCAAGCAACUUAGUUUAGGUUUGGUUUUUGUUGAUUUUCCUUUGGCUAGUACUGACGGAGUUUCAAAUAUACAAAUGAAUCAUUUCCAUUCAACUUACUGUGUCCAGCUUCUCUCACAUCCCCUCCCCUCACCUGCAAAAGAUUUUUGGCUAUAGCAAGAGAUAGAAGCUACAGAUAUGACAAUUCUCAGCAUGUGGAAACAUGACCUGGCCUUGGGGCCUUGGAGCCUGGAAAUUUCUCUUUUAGCUUUUGUUUAUAUAUAUGUAUGUAUGUAUGUAUGUAUGUAUGUAUGUAUGUAAAUAUGGAUGCAUGCAUUUAUAUGCACACACAUAUAUAAAAGAUGCCAUUACCUACCUCUUAGGAGAGAACUAAGAUCUCUGUUCAAUUCUGCAAAAAAGCAUUUAACAGAUGGCUACCUUCCCAGCAGAGGUAGGUGAAGCUCAGACCUCCCAAAAAUAUAAUUGCUGUAGCUCUGCAUCCCAGUGCUGUGAAAGGAUUCACACUGCAUUUGGCAGGUUCAGAGCUAGUUGAAAUCUCUAUGUGUGCACUGCACCCUUAGUAAAUAUACAAACCUUUUUGGACAGAAGUUUAGAACACAGCUGAAAAGUUUAUAGGAAUAUAAAUGUCAGAUCCACCCUACUUCCCCUUACCACUCUUCCUCUACUUCCCUUCUACAGGAGACAGUCCUCUGUGAACUUCUCCAAAGUGAGCCCUUCCCAUGGACUGCAGUUCUUCAGACACUGUUCUAGUUUUCAUGUCUAUCAUGGAUGGCUAUUCUCUCUGAAACAGAUCAAAAAUCUUAGACUCUUGCUGGCUCCUCACUGCAAAGCACCAAAGGACCAUGUCUCAAAAGCAGUUACCACAGACAAAUUAGGAGAUCUUUCAUACUCAAUGCAGUGUAUGGUAAGAGCUAUUAUGUGACUUCAGGUUUAGAAAGUGGUGAAAGAGGCACCUCACUGAUGGCCCAUAUAGGUUUUACAGGAAGACUCCAGACCUCACAAGACAAAAUCCAGUACGCAAGUACAGAAGAUUUUAGAGUGACAGCAGGAAAACAUAAAGAAGCAGAAACUGGUUUUUUAGCAGAGUAUAGUAGCAAUUGGUACCGACUGCGAGUGCUUGUGACAAAUUGAAUUCUGAACCAACAAAAUUCAUUCACUCUCUGGGCAAGAUAAUCUGGAGACAAAAGUUUGUGAUCUAUCCAAGCACAAAUCAUGAAUUGUUUCGGAAAAACCCAUAAAGAGCAACAAAUGGAAAGUGAAAGAGUACACAGAAAUAAGUUACCAUGAGGAAUUUACUGCUAUUUUUGGGGAAGGUUACUUGUAUUCACCUGCUUGAACAAUGAAUAUUAAUUAUUUAGUUGUCUUUUCUUUUUAUAUAUUUUUAAUCUCUUUUAACACUUAAGAAACAAUGUAUUAUUUCAGUUGCAAAAACACAGUAACUUCAAAUAUAACUGUGAGACUAUU
Molecule: non-coding RNA, 1734 nt
Organism: Taeniopygia guttata (zebra finch)
Lineage: Eukaryota; Metazoa; Chordata; Aves; Passeriformes; Estrildidae
Source: RefSeq, a predicted model, not a curated record